Molecule: long non-coding RNA, 1055 nt
Organism: Neodiprion fabricii
Lineage: Eukaryota; Metazoa; Arthropoda; Insecta; Hymenoptera; Diprionidae
Exons: 3
Source: RefSeq, a predicted model, not a curated record
CCGACUCGCUUUGCUCGGUCCGCGAAUCACUCCGAGACCGCUAUAGAGGAAUAACGUAAUACGUACGCGUGACUUGCCGUGACUCGUCUCGGCCGGUCGUGACUCGACCGCAAAGAGUUCACUAGAUUCAAAACCCGAGGAGUGAACGUUCCUUGAGAGGCAGGGAGGGAGGGAGGCACUCCGCGUACCGAUUGUUAGUGCUCGCUUGCAUCUAGACUCUAGAAAAUUUUUCUAGUUGCGGUUGAUCUGCGCUGUUGUUCAAGUCUUCGCGGACAGGUAGGAACGGUGGAAUGGCAGAGGAACGUGGUACAGGAGAGUAACGUCGGAAUAGGACGGAAAUGUGGAACACGAGGGGAACGAUGAAACAGGACGGAAAUAUGAAACAGGAGAGGAACGAUGGAAUACGACGGAAAUGUGGAACAGGAGAAGGAUGAAACGGGGUUUCCGGCUUCAAAAGUUGGGCCUCUUGGGGCUCGGUGGGACCGAUUUCCCACGCUGACGGAGGUACCAGCCUCGCCUGGUAGGAACCCCGAGCCUUCCGCUUGCGACCUCUGUGUCUGCGUGUAAUAAUCGGCGCGUUUAGUACCGUUAACUUCGGGCCUGGUCUCGAAAUGAUGGAAACUUCAAUCUGCUAGACGCUCGAAGCGGAGCAGGCCGCCUCGACACACGUAUAUCUACGUACCUAAAGCUAAUUGCUGGAUAAAGAACGAACCGCUAAACGCGGUCACUUCCCUGAGAAACUGCAGUUACCACUCUACAUCUACGCCGCACCCGCCAGCCGCCUAACCCGCUCGCACAUCAGCUGAUGAUGCACAGUUAUCGCGGAAAAUUAAUGAAACCAUUAUCCUACCUGCCAUUAUGUAACCCGCAGAGACGCUGUGAUGAUGACUGAAACAUUAUUGUACGUGCCGGCCUUUCGUGAUUUCAUACGCAAGACCAGAAGCUCAGGAGAAAACAUUUUCAAACAUUACUUGACCGUGCAAUGGAUCGGGAAGUUUGAUUAUGUAGAGUUUAGGGCUACUGGUAUCAUAAUUAAGAACUUCGAUGUGUGUCAA